Molecule: ribosomal RNA, 551 nt
Filed under: uncultured Acinetobacter sp.
Lineage: Bacteria; Pseudomonadati; Pseudomonadota; Gammaproteobacteria; Moraxellales; Moraxellaceae
Description: bacterial SSU rRNA
Rfam family: Bacterial small subunit ribosomal RNA
Source: RNAcentral
GAAUGCUAAUACCGCAUACGUCCUACGGGAGAAAGCAGGGGAUCUUCGGACCUUGCGCUAAUAGAUGAGCCUAAGUCGGAUUAGCUAGUUGGUGGGGUAAAGGCCUACCAAGGCGACGAUGUGUAGCGGGUCUGAGAGGAUGAUCCGCCACACUGGGACUGAGACACGGCCCAGACUCCUACGGGAGGCAGCAGUGGGGAAUAUUGGACAAUGGGGGGAACCCUGAUCCAGCCAUGCCGCGUGUGUGAAGAAGGCCUUAUGGUUGUAAAGCACUUUAAGCGAGGAGGAGGCUACUGAGACUAAUACUCUUGGAUAGUGGACGUUACUCGCAGAAUAAGCACCGGCUAACUCUGUGCCAGCAGCCGCGGUAAUACAGAGGGUGCGAGCGUUAAUCGGAUUUACUGGGCGUAAAGCGUGCGUAGGCGGCUUUUUAAGUCGGAUGUGAGAUCCCCGAGCUUAACUUGGGAAUUGCAUUCGAUACUGGGAAGCUAGAGUAUGGGAGAGGAUGGUAGAAUUCCAGGUGUAGCGGUGAAAUGCGUAGAGAUCUGGAG